AGUGAACGCUGGCGGUAGGCCUAACACAUGCAAGUCGAACGGCAGCACAGUAAGAGCUUGCUCUUACGGGUGGCGAGUGGCGGACGGGUGAGGAAUACAUCGGAAUCUACUUUUUCGUGGGGGAUAACGUAGGGAAACUUACGCUAAUACCGCAUACGACCUACGGGUGAAAGCAGGGGAUCUUCGGACCUUGCGCGAUUGAAUGAGCCGAUGUCGGAUUAGCUAGUUGGCGGGGUAAAGGCCCACCAAGGCGACGAUCCGUAGCUGGUCUGAGAGGAUGAUCGGCGGCACUGGAACUGGGACACGGUCCAGACUCCUACGAGAGGCAGCAGUGGGGAAUAUUGGGCAAUGGGCGCAAGCCUGGUCCAGCCAUACCGCGUGGGUGAAGAAGGCCUUCGGGUUGUAAUGCCCUUUUGUUGGGAAAGAAAAGCAGCAGGUUAAUACCCCGCUGUUCUGACGGUACCCAAAGAAUAAGCACCGGCUAACUUCGUG
Molecule: ribosomal RNA, 492 nt
Filed under: uncultured bacterium
Lineage: Bacteria
Description: partial 16S ribosomal RNA
Rfam family: Bacterial small subunit ribosomal RNA
Source: RNAcentral